Molecule: ribosomal RNA, 625 nt
Filed under: [Candida] sp. K2
Lineage: Eukaryota; Fungi; Ascomycota; Saccharomycetes; Saccharomycetales
Description: eukaryotic LSU rRNA
Rfam family: Eukaryotic large subunit ribosomal RNA
Source: RNAcentral
UGACCUCAAAUCAGGUAGGACUACCCGCUGAACUUAAGCAUAUCAAUAAGCGGAGGAAAAGAAACCAACCGGGAUUGCCUCAGUAACGGCGAGUGAAGCGGCAAAAGCUCAAAUUUGAAAUCUGCGUAAGCCGAGUUGUAAUUUGAAGAUGGCUACUUUGGUAAUGGCUCUUGUCUAUGUUCCUUGGAACAGGACGUCACAGAGGGUGAGAAUCCCGUGCGAUGAGAUGUCCAUUACCGUGUAAAGUGCUUUCGAAGAGUCGAGUUGUUUGGGAAUGCAGCUCUAAGUGGGUGGUAAAUUCCAUCUAAAGCUAAAUAUUGGCGAGAGACCGAUAGCGAACAAGUACAGUGAUGGAAAGAUGAAAAGAACUUUGAAAAGAGAGUGAAAAAGUACGUGAAAUUGUUGAAAGGGAAGGGCUUGAGAUCAGACUUGGUAUUUUGUAUGGCUUGCUUUCGGGCGGGUCCUCUGCAGUUUACUGGGCCAGCAUCGGUUUGGGUGGCAGGAUAAUAGCAUAGGAAUGUGGCUCUACUUCGGUGGAGUGUUAUAGCCUUUGUUGAUACUGCCUGCCUAGACCGAGGACUGCGUCUUUUGACUAGGAUGCUGGCAUAAUGAUCCUAAGCCGCCG